UAUUUUGUUUUGACAGUAGAUUGGUAAAG
This 29-nucleotide non-coding RNA is filed under the name Mus musculus (house mouse). Lineage: Eukaryota; Metazoa; Chordata; Mammalia; Rodentia; Muridae. The record is from RNAcentral.